This is a long non-coding RNA of Etheostoma spectabile (orangethroat darter), 235 nucleotides long. RefSeq lists it as uncharacterized. The record is from RefSeq and is a predicted model, not a curated record. NCBI's taxonomy places the organism in Eukaryota, Metazoa, Chordata, Actinopteri, Perciformes, Percidae. The transcript is spliced from 3 exons.
CUUGGAAUUGAGAAACGCCCAUUUGUCUUUCUAUCGGGUGAUUUCAUGGUUCACCUCGAUAUCUUCGUGCUGUGCUUCACGUUUACUCUCUGGACGGACUUUGUGCCUUUUAGCACGGCAGCACAGACGGGCGUUAAAGGGAGGAAGAUGGUCUGAGAUUCCUGGCUGACUCAUCAUCUGACCUCCUGUGUCUCUGGGACAUUUGUAGUGAAUGUGGACCAGACUCUAUCCAGGC